GCAUCUCUAGAUCUGCAAAGAAAAUUUCGUUAGUAACACAUUUCUACACAAAUGCAAGGAAUAGGUAGAACCGGUGAAUUUUAAAUUAACCAUAGCAAAAUUGCAAGAUUCUCGGGGUACUUUUGAAAAAGUAGCUCCGUGAAAUCCGCAAAGCAAGAUCGGCUUUGACGAAAAUAAUACUUGAAAACGCCGAAAGGGCGGACAAAC
Molecule: long non-coding RNA, 207 nt
Filed under: Prunus persica (peach)
Lineage: Eukaryota; Viridiplantae; Streptophyta; Magnoliopsida; Rosales; Rosaceae
Description: long non-coding RNA (PPER_LNC006862)
Source: RNAcentral